Molecule: long non-coding RNA, 391 nt
Organism: Brassica napus (rape)
Lineage: Eukaryota; Viridiplantae; Streptophyta; Magnoliopsida; Brassicales; Brassicaceae
Exons: 2
Source: RefSeq, a predicted model, not a curated record
AUUUUCUUCUUAGUACAACUAAUAUUAUAACAAUACAAAAUGGGUAUCACUAAAAUUUUUCUAACUACUUCUCUUCUAAUAGUAUUCGCAAUUUCGAUUCCUUACAACGUUUCGGCAGUGUCCGGGAUCGAGCCAGCAAAAAAAUCUACUCUUUGUUUUCACCAAUGUGGUGGAAUAUAUGAUGAUCAUGCAUGCUUCACUGACUGCAUACAUAAAAAAUACGAUCAUGGAUUAUGUAUGAAUAAUCAAUGCUGUUGCUUCAAUGAUAAUUGAACGUAACUCUCGAUAUUUGGCGAAUUGAAUUUGGUAUUUUAAGUAUUAUGAAAAAAUCGUUGUUGCUUUUCAUUGUUUUCAACUUCUUGAAAAUGAAAUAAAAUUAUGAUUUAUUUUA